CAAUAGCGUAUAUUAAAGUUGUUGCGGUUAAAAAGCUCGUAGUUGGAUUUCUGCUGAGAACGACCGGUCCGCCCUUUGGGUGUGUAUCUGGCUCUUUCUUGGCAUCUUCUUGGUGAACGUUGCUGCACUUGACUGUGUGGAGCGCUACCCAGGACUUUUACUUUGAGGAAAUUAGAGUGUUUCAAGCAGGCAUACGCCUUGAAUACAUUAGCAUGGAAUAAUAAGAUAGGACCUCGGUUCUAUUUUGUUGGUUUCUAGAGCUGAGGUAAUGAUUAAUAGGGAUAGUUGGGGGCAUUCGUAUUUAACUGUCAGAGGUGAAAUUCUUGGAUUUGUUAAAGACGGACUACUGUGAAAGCAUUUGCCAAGGAUGUUUUCAUUGA
Molecule: ribosomal RNA, 380 nt
Filed under: uncultured eukaryote
Lineage: Eukaryota
Description: partial 18S ribosomal RNA
Rfam family: Eukaryotic small subunit ribosomal RNA
Source: RNAcentral